This 446-nucleotide ribosomal RNA is filed under the name uncultured bacterium. Its description in RNAcentral is "partial 16S ribosomal RNA". It matches the Rfam family "Bacterial small subunit ribosomal RNA", at positions 331 to 792 of the family's 1533-position model. The record is from RNAcentral.
CCAGACUCCUACGGGAGGCAGCAGUGGGGGAUAUUGCACAAUGGGGGAAACCCUGAUGCAGCGACGCCGCGUGGGCGAAGAAGUAUUUCGGUAUGUAAAGCCCUAUCAGCAGGGAAGAAGAAAUGACGGUACCUGAGUAAGAAGCACCGGCUAAAUACGUGCCAGCAGCCGCGGUAAUACGUAUGGUGCAAGCGUUAUCCGGAUUUACUGGGUGUAAAGGGAGCGCAGGCGGCGCGCCAAGUCUGAUGUGAAACCCCGGGGCUCAACCCCGGGCAUGCAUUGGAAACUGGCGGGCUGGAGUGCCGGAGAGGUAAGCGGAAUUCCUAGUGUAGCGGUGAAAUGCGUAGAUAUUAGGAGGAACACCAGUGGCGAAGGCGGCUUACUGGACGGCAACUGACGCUGAGGCUCGAAAGCGUGGGGAGCAAACAGGAUUAGAUACCCCGGUA